CUUUCUGUUGCUCUGUGGCUGAUAUGGAGUUGGUGACUCCAUUCGAAGUCGGGCAAAAAAUUCAUGUGAUGUCAUCUGUAACUCAACCACGGCUUGGGUGGUCGAACGAAUCUGCAGCGACUUUUGGGACAAUUUCAAGGAUAGACAUGGAUGGAACUCUAAAUGUAAAAGUGGCAUGUAGAAGCAAUUUGUGGAAAGUUGCACCCGGUGAUGCAGAGAGGCUUUCGG
Molecule: unclassified non-coding RNA, 228 nt
Filed under: Hevea brasiliensis (rubber tree)
Lineage: Eukaryota; Viridiplantae; Streptophyta; Magnoliopsida; Malpighiales; Euphorbiaceae
Source: RNAcentral